AGCGAACGCUGGCGGCAGGCCUAACACAUGCAAGUCGAACGAACCUUUCGGGGUUAGUGGCGGACGGGUGAGUAACACGUGGGAACGUGCCUUUAGGUUCGGAAUAACUCAGGGAAACUUGUGCUAAUACCGAAUGUGCCCUUCGGGGGAAAGAUUUAUCGCCUUUAGAGCGGCCCGCGUCUGAUUAGCUAGUUGGUUGAGGUAAUGGCUCACCAAGGCGACGAUCAGUAGCUGGUCUGAGAGGAUGAUCAGCCACAUUGGGACUGAGACACGGCCCAAACUCCUACGGGAGGCAGCAGUGGGGAAUCUUGCGCAAUGGGCGAAAGCCUGACGCAGCCAUGCCGCGUGAAUGAUGAAGGUCUUAGGAUUGUAAAAUUCUUUCACCGGGGACGAUAAUGUCGGUACCCGGAGAAGAAGCCCCGGCUAACUUCGUG
This 434-nucleotide ribosomal RNA is filed under the name uncultured bacterium. RNAcentral's name for it is "partial 16S ribosomal RNA". It matches the Rfam family "Bacterial small subunit ribosomal RNA", at positions 29 to 507 of the family's 1533-position model. The record is from RNAcentral.